RNAcentral lists this long non-coding RNA (679 nucleotides) under Elaeis guineensis (African oil palm). RNAcentral's name for it is "long non-coding RNA (EGUI_LNC011224)". The record is from RNAcentral. Lineage: Eukaryota; Viridiplantae; Streptophyta; Magnoliopsida; Arecales; Arecaceae.
AUAUAUUAUAUAUACGUUUAAGACAUGGAGAAACCCAAGAAAGAAACUAAAACAAUGCGUUAACAAUUUUAAAAGUUUAAACUAUAAAAAUAUCAAAGAAGGACAAUAAAAGUGUCAAAACCUAGAGCAAAGGGCAUGUGUAACAUAAUUCCAUUUCGGUGUAUAAUUUAUGUAGAUAGGCAUCAUUGAAUUGGAUUAAACUAUCUUGUUAAGCCUCAAGUAUUGGAGUUAGCAACAUUUUGGCUGUUGAUGACAAUUUACAUCAAGAUUAUGUCGAUGAGACCAAUUUGAUGCAAAGGGAAUGAGGCAUACACCAGUCUGAAUGAAAAUAUUGGAAUAAGCCUGGGCAUAUAUUUUUGCGACCAACCAGUGAAAUCAACCCUGAAGAAUUCGACAAAGAAGAAAUGCAAUACGUCUGCUUCCAUGCUAUUGAUAUACUUUUAUCUCACAAGAUGGAUCUGGUUUCUGCAGCAGUGGUUGGCCAUUGAGAUAAUCAUAUGUAUCAACUCUACCAUUUAUUCCUUGGAGCACCAUCAUGUCUCAUGUCAUUGUAUGCAAGGGAAAAAAGAAAUUACAGAAAAAGCGAAAAAAAAAAAAAGAGAAGAGGAAACACAAGAAGAAUGAAAAAGAAAAGAGAGGCAAAAGAAAACAAAAUAUAACAAAGAAGAAAAAGAAAAAA